GACAGAGGGGGCAAGCGUUGCUCGGAAUCACUGGGCGUAAAGGGCGCGUAGGCGGGAUGGCAAGUCGGUCGUGAAAUCCUUCGGCUCAACCGAAGAACGUCGGCCGAUACUGCCGUUCUUGAGGGAUGCAGAGGAGAUUGGAAUUCCCGGUGUAGCGGUGGAAUGCGUAGAGAUCGGGAAGAACAUCAGUGGCGAAGGCGGCCUGCUGGGCUGUUGCUGACGCUGAGGCGCGACAGCGUGGGGAGCAAACAGGG
This 254-nucleotide ribosomal RNA is filed under the name uncultured bacterium. RNAcentral describes it as "partial 16S ribosomal RNA". It matches the Rfam family "Bacterial small subunit ribosomal RNA", at positions 524 to 777 of the family's 1533-position model. The record is from RNAcentral.